CGACGAACUCUGGUAUUGAUUGGUGCUUGCAUCAUGAUUUACAUUUGAGUGAGUGGCGAACUGGUGAGUAACACGUGGGAAACCUGCCCAGAAGCGGGGGAUAACACCUGGAAACAGAUGCUAAUACCGCAUAACAACUUGGACCGCAUGGUCCGAGUUUGAAAGAUGGCUUCGGCUAUCACUUUUGGAUGGUCCCGCGGCGUAUUAGCUAGAUGGUGGGGUAACGGCUCACCAUGGCAAUGAUACGUAGCCGACCUGAGAGGGUAAUCGGCCACAUUGGGACUGAGACACGGCCCAAACUCCUACGGGAGGCAGCAGUAGGGAAUCUUCCACAAUGGACGAAAGUCUGAUGGAGCAACGCCGCGUGAGUGAAGAAGGGUUUCGGCUCGUAAAACUCUGUUGUUAAAGAAGAACAUAUCUGAGAGUAACUGUUCAGGUAUUGACGGUAUUUAACCAGAAAGCCACGGCUAACUACGUGCCAGCAGCCGCGGUAAUACGUAGGUGGCAAGCGUUGUCCGGAUUUAUUGGGCGUAAAGCGAGCGCAGGCGGUUUUUUAAGUCUGAUGUGAAAGCCUUCGGCUCAACCGAAGAAGUGCAUCGGAAACUGGGAAACUUGAGUGCAGAAGAGGACAGU
Molecule: ribosomal RNA, 633 nt
Filed under: Lactiplantibacillus pentosus
Lineage: Bacteria; Bacillati; Bacillota; Bacilli; Lactobacillales; Lactobacillaceae
Description: bacterial SSU rRNA
Rfam family: Bacterial small subunit ribosomal RNA
Source: RNAcentral